AAUGGCAGGCUUGAAUAGGUACUACGUCGCACACGACUUCGUCUUGAUACUUACCGAUAGAAAAGGCGAUGCGCACUUGUUGAGUGACCUUAAAUUGGCCUUCGUUGCUAAGCCCUUGUAGUUGAUAAGGUCGUGGAUGCUUGGUUGUGGUUAAGCAAAGCUUUUCCACCAUUGUCGUGCUGGCUACGUUCGAGCAACUUUCACCAUCAAUAAUAACUCUACAAAGCUUACCUUGUACAUGGCAGCGAGUAUGAAAGAGAUGUUCUCGUUGCUGCUCGCUCUUUGGUUU
This 289-nucleotide long non-coding RNA is filed under the name Gossypium raimondii (Peruvian cotton). Its description in RNAcentral is "long non-coding RNA (GRAI_LNC000596)". The record is from RNAcentral. Lineage: Eukaryota; Viridiplantae; Streptophyta; Magnoliopsida; Malvales; Malvaceae.